UUUGGUUUUUGAGUUAUAAGCCAAAAACUGCAUUUUACCCCCAUGUUCUAUUUUUAGCCAUGGUGGCCAUCUUGGUUGGUUGGCCGAGUUACCGGACACAUUUUUUUAACUGUAUACCCCAAUGAUGAUUAUGGCUAAGUUUGGUUAAAUUUGCCCCAGUAGUUUCAGAGGAGAAGAUUUUUCUAAAAGAUACUAAGAUUUACGAAAAAUGGUUAAAAAUUGACU
This 225-nucleotide long non-coding RNA is filed under the name Mytilus galloprovincialis (Mediterranean mussel). The record is from RNAcentral. Lineage: Eukaryota; Metazoa; Mollusca; Bivalvia; Mytilida; Mytilidae.